AUUAACACAAAGAGAAAGCACAAAGAAAACACACUUGCCUUGAUCCGUAUGACACUCUUUACUUAAAUCUAUACCGUCCAAAUAUUUUCACAAUCCGUAUGACCCCAUCCUACCACAUCUUAUCCGUUCAAAUUCUUUUAGAUAAAACGAUUUUUUUCUCUCACUUAUCUUCAUUCACUUCUCUCGUCUCUCAUCUUCCCCUCCCUCAGAAAAAAAAACCUUAACCCAAGUUUCGUUAGCUUCAAUUGCUUCGAAUCUUCAUCACAGAACUCGAUUCUUCCAUCUCUAUAUUUCAGUAAAAAAUCAUCUCUAAUCUUCCCCGAAGACUCUCAAUUUCAUCUUCUACAUAUUCCUUUGAACAAUUCGACGAAACCUUAAUUCACUGAUUUCCCAAAUCCCUGAUUCUCUUUUCGAUUUCAUACUGAAUCCUCACAAACCCUAUUAGGUCAAUUGAAACCCUUAAUUUCAUCACUGAUUUCUCUAUUUUACUUCAUCUUGAACUCAUCCCCAAAACCCUAAUUUAUAUCAUCGGAUUUACAUGUUCUUCUGGUUCUGAAUCAAAUCACGUACUCGUAUUAACACCACCUCUAAUAGACACACCUAGAUCAUUCCCUACCUCUCUUAAUCUAAAAAGAUAUCUAUUUCAUAUUCUGACAAUGUUUAUGCUGCUACUGAUCGAGAAAAGAGGGAAGAACUGAUCUCGUUGAUGUUGUAGAAGAUGAAUCUGUAAUGGAAUUAGGGAAUUGAUGUCUGUAAGAUUUCAAGAAACAAGGGUUUGAGGUGAACUUGAGAUGAAGUGAAGAUUUAAGGGUUUGAUGUCUGUUUUGUUGAUGUAGAUUACGUUGAGGGGUGCAACAAAAUCAAAAGAUUAAGGGUUUGAUGCCUGUUUUGUUGAUGUAGAUUACGUUUAGAUGAAGUGAAUAUUUAAGUGAAAUUGAUGUCUGUUUUUUUGAUGUAGAUUACGUUGAGGGGUGCAACAAAAUCAUACUUAAGAACAGUGGAAAACUCUUACAUUGACAGCUCUGACGAGGGGAACCAAGUGGAGGAGGAUAUAAAGAAGGGGAUUGAGAAGAAGAAGGUGGAAAAGAGGGCAGAAGAAAAUGGAAGAUGAAUUACAGAGGAGGAGAAGAACAAGUAGAAGUUGUUAAUUGAAGGCGAAAUGAACCAAGAAAUAAUUUUUUAUGAUGAAGAAUGCUUCCCCAAUGAUGAAAUGAUGUUAAUCCCAGUAAUUUGGAUUCUUUGCACUUGGUAGGUCAUGAGAAUGAGCAGAGUGCCCUCUUUGCUACGAUGGUUUUGCAGUUCUGCUACAAAGAGAAUUAUUACUGCAAAAGACCAUUCUUCAGUUCAGCUUAACAUUGGUCAUAUUGAUGACAGUGGUAUCUAUACUAGACAUUUAUCCACUUUUUCCCUUAGUGGUUUCGUUCGUUGCCCAGGUAAUUGUUGUCAUUGUGCUGUUAAUUCUAAUUGAGUUAAUCUUUAUUAGGAUUUGAGCUAGCUAGUUAUGGAGAACUUUUGAAGGUGCAUUGUGAGGUUUGAUGGCUUUAUAGAUGAGAAUCCAUUAUCUCCUGAUUAUAAUUAUGUGAAUCACUUCCUUCA
Papaver somniferum (opium poppy) is the source of this 1596-nucleotide long non-coding RNA. RefSeq lists it as uncharacterized. The record is from RefSeq and is a predicted model, not a curated record. The transcript is spliced from 4 exons. NCBI's taxonomy places the organism in Eukaryota, Viridiplantae, Streptophyta, Magnoliopsida, Ranunculales, Papaveraceae.